This 71-nucleotide transfer RNA is filed under the name Marmota monax (woodchuck). RNAcentral's name for it is "tRNA.Ala". Lineage: Eukaryota; Metazoa; Chordata; Mammalia; Rodentia; Sciuridae. The record is from RNAcentral.
GGGGUUGUGACUCAGCGGUAGAGCACUCACCUAGCACAUGUGAGACCCUGGGUUCAACCCUCAGCACCACA